This 269-nucleotide ribosomal RNA is filed under the name uncultured bacterium. RNAcentral describes it as "partial 16S ribosomal RNA". It matches the Rfam family "Bacterial small subunit ribosomal RNA", at positions 84 to 354 of the family's 1533-position model. The record is from RNAcentral.
UUGCUAUCUUAGUGGCGGACGGGUGAGUAACGCGUGGGUAACCUGCCUUACACUGGGGGAUAACACUUAGAAAUAGGUGCUAAUACCGCAUAACAGUAGGAGACGCAUGUCUUUUACUUGAAAACUCCGGUGGUGUAAGAUGGACCCGCGUCUGAUUAGCUUGUUGGCGGGGUAACGGCCCACCAAGGCGACGAUCAGUAGCCGGCCUGAGAGGGUGAACGGCCACAUUGGGACUGAGACACGGCCCAAACUCCUACGGGAGGCAGCAG